ACCCCAAAACUGCACCCUAAGGAGUAACCAAACAAGACGAGUCAUUCACGAAGUUCCUCCAGAAGACUCCUGUCUGUGUCAUGUUGUACAAGUGGCUGGAGGAGGCUACAUCUGAAUGAUCACAAGAAGGACAUGCUGAGACCUCCCAAGGUUCUGCUGAAUGGCAGGUGUGUUCCCUAUGCCCAGUGCUCCCACGCAGCUCCAAGUGGAAGGUGGAGAGGAGGCAGUCCUUCUCCUGUGUUGGUUUUUGCACCUCGCAGUCCAUUACCAGGGCUAUUACAGCCCAAUAGGCUGGCAUAUUCCUGCCACUCCAUCAGUCCGGCUUGACUUGAGCUACAGCAGCAGAUACACUGCCCCCAGAGACAAUUGUCCCCACCCUCUGGCAGCCAAGUGGCCACCUCCCUUAUGGAAGAUGGAAUCAGGCCUGUUUUAUUAUCAAGAAGCACAAUAUCUCUCAAGAUCAACUUAUCAGUCCUUGCAUUGUCUAAGAAAGUGAGACUUGGGGCCAGUGUUAUGGCAUAGUAGGCUAAGCCUCCGCCUGCAAUGCCAGCCUUCCAUAUGGGCUCCGGCUUGUGUCCAGCUGCUCCUCUUCUGAUCCAGCUCUCUGCUUAUGGCCUGGGAAAGCAAUGGAAGAUGGCCCAAGUCCUUGGGCCCCUGAACCCACAUGGGAGACCCAGAAGAAGUUCCUGACUCCUGGCUUCAGAUUGACUCAGCUCGGGCUUUCGUGGCCAUUUGGGGAAUAAAUCAACAGAUAAAAGAUCUUUCUCUCUGUCU
RNAcentral lists this long non-coding RNA (774 nucleotides) under Oryctolagus cuniculus (rabbit). RNAcentral describes it as "lncRNA (ENSOCUG00000037725.1)". The record is from RNAcentral. Lineage: Eukaryota; Metazoa; Chordata; Mammalia; Lagomorpha; Leporidae.